RNAcentral lists this ribosomal RNA (584 nucleotides) under uncultured bacterium. Its description in RNAcentral is "bacterial SSU rRNA". It matches the Rfam family "Bacterial small subunit ribosomal RNA", at positions 250 to 855 of the family's 1533-position model. The record is from RNAcentral.
UGGUGAGAUAACGGCUCACCAAGGCAACGAUGGGUAGCCGGCCUGAGAGGGUGAACGGCCGCACUGGAACUGAGACACGGUCCAGACUCCUACGGGAGGCAGCAGUGGGGAAUAUUGCACAAUGGAGGAAACUCUGAUGCAGCGACGUCGCGUGAACGAUGAAGGCUUUCGGGUCGUAAAGUUCUGUCCUUGGGGACGAUAAUGACGGUACCUAAGGAGGAAGCCCCGGCUAACUACGUGCCAGCAGCCGCGGUAAUACGUAGGGGGCGAGCGUUGUCCGGAUUUAUUGGGCGUAAAGGGUACGCAGGCGGCCAUGUAAGUCAGAUGUGAAAGACCACAGCUCAACUGUGGUAAGCAUUUGAAACUGUGUGGCUUGAGUUAAGGAGAGGAAAGUGGAAUUCCUAGUGUAGCGGUGAAAUGCGUAGAUAUUAGGAAGAAUAUCAGUGGCGAAGGCGACUUUCUGGACUUAUACUGACGCUGAGGUACGAAAGCGUGGGGAGCAAACAGGAUUAGAUACCCUGGUAGUCCACGCUGUAAACGAUGAGUGCUAGGUGUCGGGGGUCAAACCUCGGUGCCGCCGUUAA